This 460-nucleotide ribosomal RNA is filed under the name uncultured bacterium. Its description in RNAcentral is "partial 16S ribosomal RNA". It matches the Rfam family "Bacterial small subunit ribosomal RNA", at positions 338 to 795 of the family's 1533-position model. The record is from RNAcentral.
CCUACGGGAUGCUGCAGUGAGGAAUAUUGGUCAAUGGACGAGAGUCUGAACCAGCCAAGUAGCGUGAAGGAUGACUGCCCUAUGGGUUGUAAACUUCUUUUAUAUGGGAAUAAAAUGUUCCACGUGUGGGAUUUUGUAUGUACCAUAUGAAUAAGGAUCGGCUAACUCCGUGCCAGCAGCCGCGGUAAUACGGAGGAUCCGAGCGUUAUCCGGAUUUAUUGGGUUUAAAGGGAGCGUAGGUGGAUUGUUAAGUCAGUUGUGAAAGUUUGCGGCUCAACCGUAAAAUUGCAGUUGAAACUGGCAGUCUUGAGUACAGUAGAGGUGGGCGGAAUUCGUAGUGUAGCGGUGAAAUGCUUAGAUAUCACGAAGAACUCCGAUUGCGAAGGCAGUUCACUGGACUGCAACUGACACUGAGGCUCGAAAGUGUGGGUAUCAAACAGGAUUAGAUACCCUUGUAGUC